CCUACGGGUGGCAGCAGUGAGGAAUAUUGGUCAAUGGCCGAGAGGCUGAACCAGCCAAGUCGCGUGAGGGAAGACGGCCCUACGGGUUGUAAACCUCUUUUGUCGGGGAGCAAAGCGAGUCACGUGUGACGCAUUGAGAGUACCCGAAGAAAAAGCAUCGGCUAACGCCGUGCCAGCAGCCGAGGUAAGACGGAGGAUGCGAGCGUUAUCCGGAUUUAUUGGGUGUAAAGGGUGCGAAGGCGGAGGUGCAAGUCAGCGGUCAAAUUGCGGGGCUCAACCCCGUACUGCCGUUGAAACUGCAGCCCUUGAGUGCGCGAGAAGUAUGCGGAAUGCGUGGUGUAGCGGUGAAAUGCAUAGAUAUCACGCAGAACUCCGAUUGCGAAGGCAGCAGACCGGCGCGCAACUGACGCUCAUGCACGAAAGCGUGGGUAUCGAACAGGAUUAGAUACCCCGGUAGUC
Molecule: ribosomal RNA, 459 nt
Filed under: uncultured bacterium
Lineage: Bacteria
Description: partial 16S ribosomal RNA
Rfam family: Bacterial small subunit ribosomal RNA
Source: RNAcentral